This is a long non-coding RNA of Triticum aestivum (bread wheat), 1066 nucleotides long. RefSeq lists it as uncharacterized. NCBI's taxonomy places the organism in Eukaryota, Viridiplantae, Streptophyta, Magnoliopsida, Poales, Poaceae. The record is from RefSeq and is a predicted model, not a curated record. The transcript is spliced from 2 exons.
CACAUCUUUCCUACACGCCUUAAAAGGAAAUCCUCUUUCCCUUUCAUGCUUUCACAACGACACAUGUUGCUCUUGCUCUUACCCUUGCCCGAUCCCCUUUCUCACUCGAAAAUUGCUGCCGCCGGUAGCUCCCAUCAGCUUGAUUCCUUGAUUCAGUGCCUUGAGCUUGUUCGUCCUCACCUGCAGCCUGCCCUGCAGCUUGAUUCGUUUGUGCGGCCACAUGGCGACCUUCGACGACGGCUGGUUUGUCUCCUGAUCUCCUCGUACGCCUCCUCUAUCUCCGCCUAGGAUGGUAAACGGCGAUGGAGGGGUAGCAGGGCCCAAGGUGUAGCUGCGCAAGGGAGGAGGCGAGAUCAGGCGUGGAUUUCAUCUCCCGCAGCUGCUUUGAUCCAUCUUUACUAUGAGGAUGGUGUAGAUGUUUUCUGCCCCUAAAGCGCCGGCCAGACGCAUCCUCCACAUGGGCAACAUUCUUCAAAGUCUGAAGUGUGUUUCCCUACAGCAAGAAAUAAGGAGGCACAUAACUCGGAACGAUUGGACGUGGGGAGCAAAAAAAGAAAUAUUACCUUGUUGUUUACCGCAAAUAGUAGUAAAGGUCCAACCCCUAGGUAAAUAUCGCCCUUGAUGAAGAGGUUGAAUUCUGGCCACUUAUAGGGUCUGUCUAUGGCGUGUAUCUCAAGUCCCAACUCUCACCUGAUGGGUCUUCUAAUCUCCCUCUAGCUGGCUGACAGCAGAAUUCAUAUGUUAAUAACAAUGCUGAAAGAGCAAUCCAACCAUCCAAGGCAUAUGGUUUUGGAGAUCAGCAGUUUGCAAAUACGGAAGGAAAAAUUACCUUAUAGCAGCUAGCUGUUGGGGUGAAAGCAAAUUGUAAAUUUUUUGAUUCAGUUAUGUUUGCACGUGGUUGUACCACAUCAAAACUGAUAUAACCUUCCUAAUCUUAUGACAAUUCUUUCGCCUUAUUUUUUUUUGUAGCUGAGCGACUGCUUAUAUUCUUUUCCCUGGCGGCCAUACAUGCCUAUCUCUUGUGUAUUCAUUGAUCAAUUUUUGUUGAGCAUAUUAGCUACCAAUC